UACGAAGGGGGCUAGCGUUGUUCGGAAUUACUGGGCGUAAAGCGCACGUAGGCGGGUCUGUAAGUAGGGGGUGAAAUCCCCGGGCUCAACCCGGGAACUGCCUUCUAGACUGCAGGCCUGGAGGUCAGGAGAGGCGAGUGGAAUUCCGAGUGUAGAGGUGAAAUUCGUAGAUAUUCGGAGGAACACCAGUGGCGAAGGCGACUCGCUGGACUGAUACUGACGCUGAGGUGCGAAAGCGUGGGGAGCAAACAGG
RNAcentral lists this non-coding RNA (253 nucleotides) under uncultured bacterium. RNAcentral's name for it is "partial 16S ribosomal RNA". It matches the Rfam family "Bacterial small subunit ribosomal RNA", at positions 524 to 776 of the family's 1533-position model. The record is from RNAcentral. RNAcentral also lists the same sequence under 1 other name.